CCUACGGGGGGCUGCAGUGGGGAAUAUUGCACAAUGGGCGAAAGCCUGAUGCAGCAACGCCGCGUGAGCGAUGAAGGCCUUCGGGUCGUAAAGCUCUGUCCUCAAGGAAGAUAAUGACGGUACUUGAGGAGGAAGCCCCGGCUAACUACGUGCCAGCAGCCGCGGUAAUACGUAGGGGGCUAGCGUUAUCCGGAAUUACUGGGCGUAAAGGGUGCGUAGGUGGUUUCUUAAGUCAGAGGUGAAAGGCUACGGCUCAACCGUAGUAAGCCUUUGAAACUGGGAAACUUGAGUGCAGGAGAGGAGAGUGGAAUUCCUAGUGUAGCGGUGAAAUGCGUAGAUAUUAGGAGGAACACCAGUUGCGAAGGCGACCUGCUAGAACAUAACUGACGCUGAUGCGCGAAAGCGUGGGGAGCAAACAGGAUUAGAUACCCUUGUAGUC
This 439-nucleotide ribosomal RNA is filed under the name uncultured bacterium. Its description in RNAcentral is "partial 16S ribosomal RNA". It matches the Rfam family "Bacterial small subunit ribosomal RNA", at positions 338 to 795 of the family's 1533-position model. The record is from RNAcentral.